RNAcentral lists this long non-coding RNA (879 nucleotides) under Mytilus galloprovincialis (Mediterranean mussel). Lineage: Eukaryota; Metazoa; Mollusca; Bivalvia; Mytilida; Mytilidae. The record is from RNAcentral.
GGGGCUUUUUGGAAUAGUUUAUAUUCUUGGACAAAAAAUAGUCCUUUAAUGCCCUUCUCCUUUGCUUUGAACAAUUUCUCAUGAAAUUUUAACACAAAAUUUAGAUUGAGUUCCCUUUAUAAGUAAUUUUUUGGAGUCUCUUUCAAAAGUUGCAGGACCUAUCAGAUUUAGGGUAUUUUUCACAUCUAUUAAGCUUGAGUGUGCUUAGAGUAAAUAAUCUAGAUCUAUACUAAGUGUCUUUCAGUUGUUUGUAUGUAAUAGUACCUGACCAUGCCCCCUUUUUCUUGGUUUUAUUUAUUUCUACUUGUAUCCAUCUCAUGAUGAGUUAAGAUUUAAGUCUUUUUCAACUGAAUUUUAUAGUUUGUUUUUAUUUUGUACUCUUACACCACUGUCCCAGGUAAGGGGAGGGUUGGGUCCCAGCGAACAUGUUUAACCCGAUACAUUAUGUAUGUCUGUGUCUGUCCCAAAUCAGGAGCCUUUAAUUCAGUGGUUGUUGUUUGAUGUGUCACAUAUUUGUUUUUCGUUCAUUAUUUUGUACAUACAUGUAUGAUAAAUUAGGCCAAAUUUCUAGUUUUAAUUGUUUCACAUUUGUCAUUUCAGUGUAUUUUAUAGCUCUCUGAGUGGUAUGGGCUUUACUCAUUGUUUAAGACUGUACUAUGACCUACUAUAGGCUACAGUUGUUAACUUCUGUCAUUUGGUCUCUUGUUGGAAGAGUUUUCUCAUUGGCAAUCAUACAACAUACUCUUUUUUUAUAUUCACAGUUUAUAGCAUAAACCAUGUAGUUGUAUCCACAAUUUGAUCAUAUAAUUUAUAUCACCAUAUAGGAAAUAUUAGUAAUUUAAAAAAAAAAAACGUUUGUGAGUAUUUGCUUUAAUAUAU